RNAcentral lists this non-coding RNA (45 nucleotides) under Echinostoma caproni. The record is from RNAcentral. Lineage: Eukaryota; Metazoa; Platyhelminthes; Trematoda; Plagiorchiida; Echinostomatidae.
GCACUGCUGACGUGUUUCAAACAGAACGAAACAGUUGUCCAGUGC